CGGCGGACGGGUGAGUAAUGCCUAGGAAUCUGCCUGGUAGUGGGGGACAACGUUUCGAAAGGAACGCUAAUACCGCAUACGUCCUACGGGAGAAAGUGGGGGAUCUUCGGACCUCACGCUAUCAGAUGAGCCUAGGUCGGAUUAGCUAGUUGGUGAGGUAAAGGCUCACCAAGGCGACGAUCCGUAACUGGUCUGAGAGGAUGAUCAGUCACACUGGAACUGAGACACGGUCCAGACUCCUACGGGAGGCAGCAGUGGGGAAUAUUGGACAAUGGGCGAAAGCCUGAUCCAGCCAUGCCGCGUGUGUGAAGAAGGUCUUCGGAUUGUAAAGCACUUUAAGUUGGGAGGAAGGGCAGUAAGUUAAUACCUUGCUGUUUUGACGUUACCGACAGAAUAAGCACCGGCUAACUUCGUGCCAGCAGCCGCGGUAAUACGAAGGGUGCAAGCGUUAAUCGGAAUUACUGGGCGUAAAGCGCGCGUAGGUGGUUCGUUAAGUUGGAUGUGAAAGCCCCGGGCUCAACCUGGGAACUGCAUCCAAAACUGGCGAGCUAGAGUAUGGCAGAGGGUG
This 568-nucleotide ribosomal RNA is filed under the name Stutzerimonas stutzeri. RNAcentral's name for it is "bacterial SSU rRNA". It matches the Rfam family "Bacterial small subunit ribosomal RNA", at positions 96 to 660 of the family's 1533-position model. Lineage: Bacteria; Pseudomonadati; Pseudomonadota; Gammaproteobacteria; Pseudomonadales; Pseudomonadaceae. The record is from RNAcentral.